RNAcentral lists this ribosomal RNA (404 nucleotides) under uncultured Anaplasma sp. RNAcentral describes it as "bacterial SSU rRNA". It matches the Rfam family "Bacterial small subunit ribosomal RNA", at positions 54 to 484 of the family's 1533-position model. Lineage: Bacteria; Pseudomonadati; Pseudomonadota; Alphaproteobacteria; Rickettsiales; Anaplasmataceae. The record is from RNAcentral.
CAUUUUGUCGAACGAGAUUAUUCUUUAUAGCUUGCUAUGGGGACAAUUAGUGGCAGACGGGUGAGUAAUGCAUAGGAAUCUACCUAGUAGUAUAGGAUAGCCACUAGAAGUGGUGGGUAAUACUGUAUAAUCCCUGCGGGGGAAAGAUUUAUCGCUACAUGAUGAGCCUAUGUUAGAUUAGCUAGUUGGUGGGGUAAUGGCCUACCAAGGCAGUGAUCUAUAGCUGGUCUGAGAGGAUGAUCAGCCACACUGGAACUGAGACACGGUCCAGACUCCUACGGGAGGCAGCAGUGGGGAAUAUUGGACAAUGGGCGCAAGCCUGAUCCAGCUAUGCCGCGUGAGUGAGGAAGGCCUUAGGGUUGUAAAACUCUUUCAGUAGGGAAGAUAAUGACGGGUACCUAUAA